This is an RNA transcript of Arachis stenosperma, 1356 nucleotides long. It is a transcript of the gene named transcription factor bHLH130-like, with no coding region annotated. NCBI's taxonomy places the organism in Eukaryota, Viridiplantae, Streptophyta, Magnoliopsida, Fabales, Fabaceae. The record is from RefSeq and is a predicted model, not a curated record. The transcript has 6 exons.
UUCCAACCCAGUCAUCUAUUACUUAUUAUUACAAAUAAUUUGAAUUUUGACUUUGUGGAACCAAAAGCCCUUUUUAUUUGCUUAAACGUUACUUGCUUCAUUCUCAUUACAAUUAAUUAAUUAAGCUGAAGAACCCUAGCUAGCUAUAAUGGAUUCCAGUUCCCGUUAUCACCAACAGCAGCUAAACUCAUCGUCGUCAUCAGCAUCAGGAUUGCUUCGAUUUCGCUCUGCUCCUCCUUCAGUCCUCGAACAGUUACAGGUUGUUGAAGGUUCUUGUUCAUCUGAACAGGAGAGGUCGUCGUCGUCGUCGUUCUUGAGAUUCUUCAGUUCCAACAACAAUAAGCCUUCUUCAACAACAAAACCGCCAUCACUUUCUUUGAUGAAUUCGAAUCAUCGCUUCACCAGACUGCACAACUCGUCAACUGCACCUUCCGCUUCCACUUCCUCUGGAACGGAUCUACCAAGGCAGAGCACUUUUCCAGCUUCGCAUUUCUCCUUCCACGAUAAUAACGGUUAUGAUACUAAUGCAAAUACUAUGACGAAAGGUGUUGGAAACUACAGCGGCAGUGAUGAACUUAGUCUAUCCACAAUGAACAGAUUCAAUAACCAAAUUAGCUUCUCAUCAUCAAGAAGCCCUUCUUCUUCAGCAACAGCAACUAAUAGUAACCGUAAUGGUGGAUUAUUCUUCCCUAAUUAUGGUUCUUGGAAUGAGACAUCAUACAAGAGGGACGACCGAAAUGGGAUUCAUAAGUUAAUUUUUGAUGCUAAUCAGAAUGAAGAGUUUGGGAAUAAUAAAGUUGUUCAUACACUAUCGCAUCAACUAAGUUUUCCAAAAGCGGAACCGGAGAUGUUUGCAAUGGAGAAUAUGAUUCACUUCCCAUUAUCAGAUUCUGUUCCAUGUAAAAUUAGAGCCAAAAGAGGAUGUGCUACUCAUCCCAGAAGCAUUGCCGAAAGGGUAUGUGAGAAGGACUCGGAUCAGUGAACGAAUGAAAAAAUUACAAGAGCUUGUUCCGAACAUGGACAAGCAAGCCAGCACAGCAGACAUGUUGGACAUGGCUGUAGGAUACAUAAAAGAUCUUCAGAAACAAUUUAAGAAUCUAAGUGACAGACGGGCUAAAUGCAAGUGUAUAAGGAUGCAGAAAUCAGAUUCUUCAAAAAAAUUUUGACUUUCUUCCGGCGCUGAAAAGUGAUAAGUAGUUAUCUAGAAAGUAAAGCUAAUAUAUCAGAUACAGUUGUAUGUUGCAUGUCUAUUAUUGCUUGGAUAUAUCACAGUCAUUGAAUCAAAUAUUUCAUUUUCUAAUUCUGUAUAGAAGAUUUUCUUAUAAUAUAUAUUGUAUUCAUUUUAAUGUUAUGUUA